UCAGACGAUGCGUCAUGCAUAUCAAUAAGCGGAGGAAAAGAAACUAACAAGGAUUCCCCUAGUAACGGCGAGUGAAGCGGGAAGAGCUCAAAUUUGAAAUCUUAAAGGGUUUCCCUUUACGAAUUGUAGUUUAAAGAAGUGUUUUCUGUUGAGGUUUUGGUAAAAGUUCUUUGGAAUAGGACAUCAUAGAGGGUGAGAAUCCCGUAUUUGACCUUUACUUUCAACUUUGUGAUACACUUUCAAAGAGUCGGAUUGUUUGGGAAUGCAGUCCAAAAUGGGUGGUAAAUUUCAUCUAAAGCUAAAUAUUGGCGAGAGACCGAUAGCGAACAAGUACCGUGAGGGAAAGAUGAAAAGAACUUUGAAAAGAGAGUUAAACAGUACGUGAAAUUGUCAAAAGGGAAGCGUUUGACACCAGUGUUGUUUUUCUGAAAAUCAAUUAAAGAACUGUUUAUGCUAAGUUGUUUAGGACUUUAUCAGCUAUCUGUUUAGUUUUGAGCUUUUCUUUAAUGCACUUUUCAGUUAACAAGUCAACAUCAAUUUCUUUUGCUGUAAAAAAGCUUGAGGAAGGUGGCUUGAGAUUCGUCUUAAGUGUUUAUAGCCUCUUGCCUAUGCAGUCGGAGAGAUUGAGGUCUGCAGCGUAGAUCCUUCGGGGCUAAAUGCAUUUGUGCUAAGUUAUAGCAUUUUAUAGACAACUUGUUGACUAUGAUUUGUCUUGUAGCUUACUCGCUUAUGUUAUUUUACCUACGCUUAGGAUGUUGAGCGCAUGUCUCUCUCU
This 775-nucleotide ribosomal RNA is filed under the name uncultured Neocallimastigales. RNAcentral's name for it is "partial large subunit ribosomal RNA". It matches the Rfam family "Eukaryotic large subunit ribosomal RNA", at positions 18 to 616 of the family's 3401-position model. The record is from RNAcentral. Lineage: Eukaryota; Fungi; Neocallimastigomycota; Neocallimastigomycetes; Neocallimastigales.